This 1480-nucleotide ribosomal RNA is filed under the name uncultured Bordetella sp. RNAcentral describes it as "partial 16S-23S ribosomal RNA intergenic spacer". It matches the Rfam family "Bacterial small subunit ribosomal RNA". Lineage: Bacteria; Pseudomonadati; Pseudomonadota; Betaproteobacteria; Burkholderiales; Alcaligenaceae. The record is from RNAcentral.
GGUUCGAUCAUGGCUCAGAUUGAACGCUGGCGGGAUGCUUUACACAUGCAAGUCGAACGGCAUACGGACUUCGGUCUGGUGGCGAGUGGCGAACAGGUGAGUAAUGUAUCGGAACGUGCCUAGUAGCGGGGGAUAACUACUGUGGCGUAACUAAUACAUACGCCCUUCGAGAAAAGCGGGGGACCUUCGGGCCUCACUAUUAGAGCGGCCGAUAUCGGAUUGGCUAGUUGGUGAGGUGCGCAGCUCGCAGGCGGGCGUCAUGGCUGGUUUGAAGACGACCAGCCACACUGGGACUGAGACACGGCCCAAACUCCUACGGGAGGCAGCAGUGGGGAAUUUUGGACAAUGGGGGAAACCCCUGAUCCAGCCAUCGCGUGUGCGAUGAAGGCCUUCGGGUUGUAAAAAAGCACUUUUGGCGGAAAAACACGGCACGGAUAAUACCCCGUGCAGCUAAUGUUUCUGCCCAGAAUAAGCACCGGCUAACUACGUGCCAGCAGCCGCGGUAAUACGUAGGAGUGCGAAAGCGUUAAUCGGAAUUACUGGGCGUAAAGCGUGCGCAGGCGGUUCGGAAAGAAAGAUGUGAAAUCCCAGGCUUAACUUUGGAACUGCAUUUUAACUACCGAGCUAGAGUGUGUCAGAAGGUGGAAUUCCGCGUGUAGCAGUGAAAUGCGUAGAUAUGGAGGAACACCGAUGGCGAAGGCAGCCUCCUGGGAUAACACUGACGCUCGCCGCUGCGAAAGCGUGGGGAGCAAACGGGAUUGAUGCCUGGUAAUUCCGCCUAAACGAUGUCCAACUAGCUGUUGGAGACCACUUCGGGCCUUGGUAGCGCAACUAACGCGUGAAGUUGACCGCCUGGGGAGGAUACGGUCGCCAGAUUAAAACUCAAAGGAAUUGACGGGGACCCGCACAAGCGGUGGAUGAUGUGGAUUAAUUCGAUGCAACGCGAAAAACCUUACCUACCCUUGACAUGUGUCUGGAAUCCCAGAAGAGAUUUGGGAGUGCUCGCAAAGGGGAGCAACCGGAACACAGGUGCUGCAUGGCUGUCGUCAGCUCGUGUCGUGAGAUGUUGGGUUAAGUCCCGCAACGAGCGCAACCCUUGUCAUUAGUUGCUACGAAAGGGCGCUCUAAUGAGACUGCCGGUGACAAACCGGAGGAAGGUGGGGAUGACGCCAAGUCCUCAUGGCCCUUAUGGGUAGGGCUUCACGUCAUACAAUGGUCGGGACAGAGGGUCGCUGCAACCGCGAAGAGCCAAUCCCAGAAACCCGAUCGUAGUCCGGAUCGCAGUGCAACUCGGCUGCGUGAAGUCGGAAUCGCUAGUAAUCGCGGAUCAGCAUGUCGCGGUGAAUACGUUCCAGGUCUUAUACACACCGCCCGUCACACCAUGGGAAUUAGGUUUACCAGAAGUAGUUAGCCUAACCGUAAGGAGGGCGAUUACCACGGUAAGUUCGCAGCUGGGGGUGAAGUCAGCAGCUAAGGUAAA